RNAcentral lists this ribosomal RNA (497 nucleotides) under uncultured bacterium. RNAcentral describes it as "partial 16S ribosomal RNA". It matches the Rfam family "Bacterial small subunit ribosomal RNA", at positions 28 to 507 of the family's 1533-position model. The record is from RNAcentral.
GAUGAACGCUGGCGGCGUGCCUAAUACAUGCAAGUCGAGCGAACAGACUAGAAGCUUGCUUCUCUCACGUUAGCGGCGGACGUGUGAGUCACACGUGUAUAACCUACCUAUAAUACUGGUAUAACUUCGGGAAACCGGAUCUUACACCAUAUAAUAUUUUGAUCCGCAUUGUGCAAAAGUGAAAGACGGUCUUGCUUUCACUUAUGGAUGGUUCCCCGCUGCAUUAGAUAGUUGGUAAGGUAACGGCUUACCAAGGCAACGAUGCAUAGCCGAAGUGAGAGGGUGAUAGGCGACACUGGAACGGAGACGGCGUCAAGAGGCCUAAGAGAGGCCGCAGACGCGAAUCUUCGGCAGUGGGCGAAAGCAUGACGGAGCAAGGCCGAGUGAGUGAUGAAGGUCUUGGGUGCGUAAAAAUGUGUUAUUAGGGAAGAACACAUGUGUAAGUAGAUGUGCACAAAUUGACGGUACCUAGUCAGAAAGCAACGGCUAACUACGUG